RNAcentral lists this ribosomal RNA (407 nucleotides) under uncultured bacterium. RNAcentral's name for it is "partial 16S ribosomal RNA". It matches the Rfam family "Bacterial small subunit ribosomal RNA", at positions 28 to 526 of the family's 1533-position model. The record is from RNAcentral.
GACGAACGCUGGCGGCGUGCCUAAUACAUGCAAGUAGAACGCAGUUUCGAACGGGUGAGUAACGCGUAGGUAACUGCCUGGUAGCGGGGGAUAACUCUUGGAAACGAUAGCUAAUACCGCAUACUACCAGAUGGACCUGCGUUGUAUUAGCUAGUUGGGGGGGUAACGGCCCACCAAGGAAACGAUACAUAGCCGACCUGCGAGGGUGAUCGGCCAACCUGGGACUGAGACACGGCCCAGACCCCUACGGGAGGGAGCAGUAGGGAAUCUUCGUGAAUGGUGGGAACCCUGACCGAGCAACGCCGCGUGAGUGAAGAAGGUUUUCGGAUCGUAAAGCUCUGUUGUUAAGGAAGCGGUACUUAACCAGAAAGGGACGGCUAACUACGUGCCAGCCGCCGCGGUAAUAC